Molecule: long non-coding RNA, 700 nt
Filed under: Actinidia chinensis (golden kiwifruit)
Lineage: Eukaryota; Viridiplantae; Streptophyta; Magnoliopsida; Ericales; Actinidiaceae
Description: long non-coding RNA (ACHI_LNC004082)
Source: RNAcentral
UUUUUUUUUAUCCCCGUCCCCGCCCCGAUCCCCGGCGGGGAAUUUUUUUUUACCCCCAUCCCCGCCCCUAACGGGGACCGGGGAUUCCCGCCCCGAAUCCAAACCCCGAAAAUUUUUAGAGUAAAUAGAUAUCAAAAUGGUAAAAUCGUUAAAAAAACAAAACAAUAACAAGAAUGUGGACUUGAAUUCCAAAAAAAACAGGGCCUAUCAUCAUACAAAUGAAAACCCAAAUGAAAAUAAUUUAUAUUUCUGUUUGGAAACAUUAGGGUUUUCGAAAAAACCCAAAAAAAUUAAUGAACUAGAAAGAUGGCAACUCAAACAAUUAAAGAUUAAACACGUACAUGCACAAGUCACGGCGGGAAACGACCGGCGACCGCAGCGGGAGCAACGGCGGGCAACAAUGACGAGGGCAACCAGCUCUGGUGCUGGGUCUCCAAAAUACUCUCGGCCAUGGAGAGAGAGAGACUGAGAGAGAGGUGUGAAACUAUGGAGAGAGAGAGGAGGGUUGUUGAUUUGGGGAUCUCUCUCUCUUUGGCUCUGCGUGAGGGUGGGUGGGUGGGUGGGGAUGGGAUGGGGGAACGUGCAGGGUUUAGAUAUUAUAGGUUUAAUUUCACUUUCCACCCCUUUACUUAUAUUAGAUUAUUAUUUAGUACUUUUUAUUUUUAAUUUUAAUAUUUUCGGGGUAACUUUUCGGGGAUCG